GUAGGGAAUAUUGGGCAAUGGUCGGAAGACUGACCCAGCCAUGCCGCGUGCAGGAAGACGGCCCUCUGGGUUGUAAACUGCUUUUAUCUGGGAAGAAAAAGGCCAUGCGUGGCAAAUUGCCGGUACCAGAUGAAUAAGCACCGGCUAACUCCGUGCCAGCAGCCGCGGUAAUACGGAGGGUGCGAGCGUUGUCCGGAUUUAUUGGGUUUAAAGGGUGCGUAGGCGGCUGAUUAAGUCAGCGGUGAAAGGCUUCGGCUUAACCGGAGCAGUGCCGUUGAUACUGGUUGGCUUGAGUGUCGGAGGGGUACAUGGAAUUGAUGGUGUAGCGGUGAAAUGCAUAGAUACCAUCAGGAACACCGAUAGCGAAGGCAUUGUACUGGCCGACAACUGACGCUGAUGCACGAAAGUGUGGGGAUCGAACAGGAUUAGAUACCCGUGUAGUCC
Molecule: ribosomal RNA, 444 nt
Filed under: uncultured bacterium
Lineage: Bacteria
Description: partial 16S ribosomal RNA
Rfam family: Bacterial small subunit ribosomal RNA
Source: RNAcentral